CUUGCUUCUUGGGUGACGAGUGGCGGACGGGUGAGUAAUGUCUGGGAAACUGCCCGAUGGAGGGGGAUAACUACUGGAAACGGUAGCUAAUACCGCAUAACGUCUUCGGACCAAAGUGGGGGACCUUCGGGCCUCACGCCAUCGGAUGUGCCCAGAUGGGAUUAGCUAGUAGGUGGGGUAACGGCUCACCUAGGCGACGAUCCCUAGCUGGUCUGAGAGGAUGACCAGCCACACUGGAACUGAGACACGGUCCAGACUCCUACGGGAGGCAGCAGUGGGGAAUAUUGCACAAUGGGCGCAAGCCUGAUGCAGCCAUGCCGCGUGUAUGAAGAAGGCCUUCGGGUUGUAAAGUACUUUCAGCGGGGAGGAAGGCGAUGCGGUUAAUAACCGCGUCGAUUGACGUUACCCGCAGAAGAAGCACCGGCUAACUCCGUGCCAGCAGCCGCGGUAAUACGGAGGGUGCAAGCGUUAAUCGGAAUUACUGGGCGUAAAGCGCACGCAGGCGGUCUGUCAAGUCAGAUGUGAAAUCCCCGGGCUUAACCUGGGAACUGCAUUUGAAACUGGCAGGCUAGAGUCUUGUAGAGGGGGGUAGAAUUCCAGGU
Molecule: ribosomal RNA, 602 nt
Filed under: Erwinia sp. CgG4
Lineage: Bacteria; Pseudomonadati; Pseudomonadota; Gammaproteobacteria; Enterobacterales; Erwiniaceae
Description: bacterial SSU rRNA
Rfam family: Bacterial small subunit ribosomal RNA
Source: RNAcentral